This 478-nucleotide ribosomal RNA is filed under the name uncultured bacterium. Its description in RNAcentral is "partial 16S ribosomal RNA". It matches the Rfam family "Bacterial small subunit ribosomal RNA", at positions 28 to 523 of the family's 1533-position model. The record is from RNAcentral.
GAUUAACGCUGGCGGCGUGCUUAACACAUGCAAGUCGAACGGUAAGGCCCUUCGGGGUACACGAGUGGCGAACGGGUGAGUAACACGUGGGUGAUCUGCCCUGCACUUCGGGAUAAGCCUGGGAAACUGGGUCUAAUACCGGAUAGGACCACUGCCUGCAUGGGCGGUGGUGGAAAGCUUUUGCGGUGUGGGAUGGGCCCGCGGCCUAUCAGCUUGUUGGUGGGGGUAUGGCCUACCAAGGCGACGACGGGUCGCCGGCCUGGGAGGGUGAGCGGCCACACGGGGACUGAGAUACGGCCCAGACUCCUACGGGAGGCAGCAGUGGGGAAUAUUGCACAAUGGGCGCAACCCUGAUGCAGCGACGCGGGGUGAGGGAUGACGGCCUUCGGGUUGAAAACCUCUUUCAGCCCCGACGAAGCGAAAGUGACGGUAGGUGCAGAAGAAGGACCGGCCAACUACGUGCCAGCCGCCGCGGUAA